Molecule: long non-coding RNA, 2191 nt
Filed under: Triticum aestivum (bread wheat)
Lineage: Eukaryota; Viridiplantae; Streptophyta; Magnoliopsida; Poales; Poaceae
Description: long non-coding RNA (TAES_LNC002716)
Source: RNAcentral
CAACUACAGCCUAUGCAGGCGAAUCAUGCGCUUGUGCCGAGCUGAUCCAAGGUGGUGCAUCUGCAUCAGAGGACUGUUUUUGUUCGAUUUGUGGAACCUAGCUUGCGAUGUAGAAAAAAAAAAGGAUGGCUACAUCUGCUACAUAUCCUCCUGUGUUUUAACUUGAGCCUCUUGUGGUUUCAGCAUGAAAAGCAGGUGAAUGAGAAGCUGCACAACCCGCACACUGUAAGUUGCUCCUUCAUGCCUAUGCAGAACAAGUUACUGUGAAAGAGAAGUGUAUGCACGUUCUUUGUACAAAGCUCAGUUGUACCUUAAUCUGGGAAGUAGGAUGACCCCGACUAUACCAAGUUUGACCAAAUUUGUUGGUGAAUUAGUUUGUUUUGCCCUGAUUUUUGCGUGGUGGCAGUAUAUCUGAGCCUGGAAUGCAUAUAUCCAGUGCAGAGAAGAUCAGUUUGCUGUAUGAAAUUUUCUAAGCAUUUCAUUUUCUUUAUUCUUAGUUUUUAUAUGAUGUCGUGCAGCAGAAAACUGGUUAUGAAUUUGUUAAAAAGUAUGAAUUUUUCAUCUAAAAUUCUUGGCAGCUACCCUUCAUGAUUAUUUUUCUUCAUGCAGUAAACGCCUAGGUGAAGCAUCAAAAUUCAAUAUAACUAGUUCUGGACAUGGACAAGGGCUUCAUUUGAUCUUUUGUUGCUCUCAAGCCAUAUUUUCCCUGUGUGUCUCUUUGUGCAGGUACUUGAAAAAAAUAAAAAUACACAACUUGUCCAAAUGUUCCUCUAUCACCAUAGCCUAAAUUAAUAUGUCCAAAUGUUCCUCUAUCACCAUAGCCUAAAUUAAUAUAUAGGAAUUUAAUUUAAUCUUUUAUUCCUGUUGGGUUCACAUGUAAUGUAUUCAGCUAUAAUACACCAGUGAAUUAGACAUAUCAUCUUUUAUGCUGAAUCAGCACCACUGCAUUAUGUAGCUAUGUUCACCACAGGUUAUGAGUUUGUUUUUUGUAUUACUUUAACAGCAUGUUAAUUUUUCACAAAUCUCCUGCUUCAGCUAUAGAUUUCUUUGUACAACAUGCGCAAAUUAUUGAUCUUAUUCCGAAGUCUUAUUCUGCGGUGUUUAACUGCAGGCUGAGUUCAAUUUGUUUUUGUGCCAGAAACGGAACAGGUAGUGCUCUAACCUCAGCAGCAUAUGGUCUAAAUUUCAUACUUAGGGUCAUUCAAAUAUCUGGAAUAUUAGUCCUGAGUCAAGGUAAUUUUCCUCAUCCCUUUAAUGUAUCAUGGAAAUUUACGUCCACCUUUGUGCUUGCUUGUUAAAAAUUGCUCAUUUGGUUCUUUGUUCAGAUUUACGAUUAUUACGAUUUACUACUUCACCAUAGAUUUACAACAACAAUAUUUGUUUUGUUCUAGAUCAACUGUUACGGGAAUACAUUAUUCCCGAAGUUCUUUUAGAUGUAUUGGUCAUGGCACUGUUUUUUUUUCUGCUUUUGUAGUUGAAGGGUUAGUUACACUCUGAUUUUGUAGCAUUUGUUCCAUGUGAGAGAGAUUGUAUAUUGUUGUCAUCCUGAAACAAUGCUGGAGCUCUAAAGAAAAAGCUAGCAGAGUACUCCAUGGUUAUAGGUUGUACAAAUAGUAUGGUAAUGUUGCAUUCACUGUAGGAUGACCAAGAUGCACCAAAUUUGAGAAACUCGUGAGGUGAAUUAAUUGGUGCUUAACCUAAUUUCACUUGGCCGCCCAGCAACUUCCUUUUUGUGUAAAUGGUGCAUCUGUAUAUGAAAUGGUUAUGUAUUUUGAUUUUUGUCAUCUAAUUUUUUAGAAGAGUUGUGAUAGAUUCUAAGCAGUUGCAGUUCAUGAUUUUCCUCUUUAAUAUCCAUGUCAUUCAGUCAAGAUAGUGCGCAAAGUUUCUGGUUGUUUUUAUUUCUCCAGGCAGUGAAAACAUGUUGAUUUCUUGACCACAUCAAGUGAUACAUGCUAUGUUAAGUGUUUAAAUAUUUUUUGCUCAUUUUUUCCGCAGACCAGCACAAUGGAAUGAACUUUACAACAUUUAGUUAGCAUAUUAUAUAUUUUCCGAGGGAAAAUGGCAGGCGCUCUGCCUUUGUUAUAGAUUAUGAAUGUACAAGAGGAGAACACAAUGGAGAAAGAGAGGGAGGAAGCAAAGGAAAACGAAGAAGCAGUCACCCCAGGCGCUGCCUGUACAUGGAUGUUCAGCU